This is a long non-coding RNA of Anarrhichthys ocellatus (wolf-eel), 851 nucleotides long. RefSeq lists it as uncharacterized. The transcript has 3 exons. Lineage: Eukaryota; Metazoa; Chordata; Actinopteri; Perciformes; Anarhichadidae. The record is from RefSeq and is a predicted model, not a curated record.
CAGGGCGCGCAGCCUCAGGACGCCGACAGCCGAAGUAGUGUUUCAACAUGUUUUAAAUGAGUUACUUGUUCAUUUGACACAGCGACAGUUACCGUCUGUCUUUGCUUUGAGUUGCCGCGGCAUGUGCUUUACUUUUGUUGUUGUAGCGUAGUUUAACACACUCAUACACACGUACAUGUUAACCUUCGUUCAUCCGCUUCAUCUACUGGACAACAAACCUAAGUCCCUUAACGAGUGUCCUCACUGGCCAACUUCUGUGACCAAACUUCUUCAUGAAUAUCUGCCAACACAAGCCAAGCUCCUGGAAAAAGAUAGUGUUCCAUAAAAUGUGGUUUCCAGUCCAAAAAAGAUAACAUUGGCAGGAAGAUUACCAAUAUGACCCCAUUGCUCCUUGCAGACUUCCAGGUUGAUGAUGGAGACGUCCACCACUCUCAGAUCAUCAACAGCUGGACCACGAGUCUUUAUAGCUCCCCAUCCAGCCACCUUGCAGUUGUCUUGUGUGUUCAUUUCAGAUGUGGGAAGAGGAAUUGUUUGCACCCGUCUGUUCAGUGAAACCUUCUUAGACAGCUGGAGACACACAACGUUAAAACUAAUGCAAUGUCUAAUUUCAUAACAAUUGCUGGAAUAUGGAGCUGAUAACAAUAAAAAAGAUGACUCAACAAAGUGAUGUCACCUGGAAAUAUGUACUUACUUUGAGGAGCAUGAUGUCACUACCAUUUCCAACAUUUUCAUAACAUUUGUGUUUGUAUUUUUGUUUAAUGGAUAUCUUGUUGUCAUCAUUAACACUCUUGAGAUUGUGGGUGCCAAGAACAACAUGGGUAAUGCCACUGAAUGAGAGAUAACAAAGGGGG